This is a non-coding RNA of Aspergillus pseudotamarii, 95 nucleotides long. NCBI's taxonomy places the organism in Eukaryota, Fungi, Ascomycota, Eurotiomycetes, Eurotiales, Aspergillaceae. The record is from the annotation of a RefSeq genome assembly.
GCCCGGGUGGUCUAGUGGUAUGAUUCUCGCUUAGGGCGUUAACCCAAGCAACACUAUUGUGCGAGAGGUCCCGCGUUCGAUCCGCGGCUCGGGCC